GUGGGGAAUCUUCCACAAUGGACGAAAGUCUGAUGGAGCAACGCCGCGUGAGUGAAGAAGGUCUUCGGAUCGUAAAACUCUGUUGUUAGAGAAGAACGUGCAUGAUAGUAACUGAUCAUGUAAUGACGGUAUCUAACCAGAAAGCCACGGCUAACUACGUGCCAGCAGCCGCGGUAAUACGUAGGUGGCAAGCGUUGUCCGGAUUUAUUGGGCGUAAAGGGAACGCAGGCGGUUUUUUAAGUCUGAUGUGAAAGCCUUCGGCUUAACCGAAGAAUAGCAUUGGAAACUGGAAGACUUGAGUGCAGAAGAGGAGAGUGGAAUUCCAUGUGUAGCGGUGAAAUGCGUAGAUAUAUGGAGGAACACCAGUGGCGAAAGCGGCUCUCUGGUUUGUAACUGACGCUGAGGUUCGAAAGCGUGGGUAGCAAACAGGAUUAGAAACCCCUGUAGUCC
Molecule: ribosomal RNA, 450 nt
Filed under: uncultured bacterium
Lineage: Bacteria
Description: partial 16S ribosomal RNA
Rfam family: Bacterial small subunit ribosomal RNA
Source: RNAcentral